Dermacentor albipictus is the source of this 566-nucleotide long non-coding RNA. RefSeq lists it as uncharacterized. NCBI's taxonomy places the organism in Eukaryota, Metazoa, Arthropoda, Arachnida, Ixodida, Ixodidae. The record is from RefSeq and is a predicted model, not a curated record.
GCUUGCUGAAGAUCGGCCAGUAAAUCUCGUCGGCCUCAACGCCCAAACAUUGCCAGCGCCGCGGGCUCUCGUCUGGCGCGGAAGCCGUGAAAAUACGCGGUGUGCGAGCCCGGCGCUUGCAUGCAAGGGACCGUCAAACGGGCCGCCCGCGUGAAUGGGUGUUCUUCUUCGCGUGCCUCGUGCACGUGCGGCUUCGCGGACCCGCACGGCGAGAGGAUGGUCUCGAACGCCCGCUCCGGACGGAGGUGUCUUGAAGGUGCCAAAUGCAAGCAAGCAAGCAAGCAAGCAAGCAAGCAAGCAAGCAAAGAAUUAAGGUCGUUUCAGGAUGGCUAAGGACUGGCUACCCGGCUCGCACACUGCCCAGCGAUGCACGGAACCGGGCCUAUACGCAUGCGCGGCACCUAGCGCGGAGUGCGGGAUAGCGGAGGCCCCGGACCCCCCGCGGGGCUGGCGGCGGUGGACAACGGCUCGGCUCCUCACCUCGCAGUGGAGCCGGCGCGGCUCGCACCCGAAAAUUAUCUGCCGCGCACCCAGGCCUGCUGGGUGGUCCUCGCGCGAGGGCCUGA